CCUACGGGUGGCAGCAGUGAGGAAUAUUGGUCAAUGGCCGGAAGGCUGAACCAGCCAUGCCGCGUGAAGGGCAGGGCCCUAGGGGCGGUAAACUUCUUUUGUGCGGGAGCAAGAAUGGUCACGUGGGGCCAGACGAGAGGAACGUAAGAAAAAGCAGCGGCUAACUCCGGGCCAGCAGCCGCGGUAAUACGGGGGAUGCAAGCGGUAUCCGGAUUUAUUGGGGUUCACGGGGGCGGAGGCUGUGAGGUAAGUCAGCGGGGAAAUGCCCCCGCUCAACGGGGGGAAGUGCCAUUGAUACUGCCUUGCUGGACUGCGGCUGCCGUGGGCGGAAUGUGUGGUGUAGCGG
Molecule: ribosomal RNA, 346 nt
Filed under: uncultured bacterium
Lineage: Bacteria
Description: partial 16S ribosomal RNA
Rfam family: Bacterial small subunit ribosomal RNA
Source: RNAcentral